GUGCCAGUGAGGAAAUCAGAAUUAAAAUACACCAUCUUUCGGGACUGAAUGGCUUUUUAAGCCACUUGUUGACUAAUUCUGCAAUUCUGAGGCCA
RNAcentral lists this small nucleolar RNA (95 nucleotides) under Daucus carota subsp. sativus. RNAcentral's name for it is "sRNA DCAR_sn00317". It matches the Rfam family "Small nucleolar RNA SNORD96 family". Rfam says of the family: snoRNA Z37 is a member of the C/D class of snoRNA which contain the C (UGAUGA) and D (CUGA) box motifs. Z37 acts as a methylation guide for 5.8S ribosomal RNA. The record is from Rfam by way of RNAcentral. Lineage: Eukaryota; Viridiplantae; Streptophyta; Magnoliopsida; Apiales; Apiaceae.